Molecule: ribosomal RNA, 443 nt
Filed under: uncultured bacterium
Lineage: Bacteria
Description: partial 16S ribosomal RNA
Rfam family: Bacterial small subunit ribosomal RNA
Source: RNAcentral
CCUACGGGAGGCAGCAGUGGGGAAUAUUGGGCAAUGGGCGCAAGCCUGACCCAGCAACGCCGCGUGAAGGUAGAAGGCUUUCGGGUUGUAAACUUCUUUUGUCAGGGACGAAUCAAGUGACGGUACCUGACGAAUAAGCCACGGCUAACUACGUGCCCGCAGCCGCGGUAAUACGUAGGUGGCAAGCGUUAUCCGGAUUUAUUGUGUUUAAAGGGCGUGUAGGCGGGAAUGCACGUCAGAUGUGAAAACUAUGGGCUCAACCCAUAGCCUGCAUUUGAAACUGUAUUUCUUGAGUGCUGGAGAGGCAAUCGGAAUGCGGGGUGUAGCGGUGAAAUGCGUAGAUAUACGGAGGAACACCAGUGGCGAAGGCGGAUUGCUGGACAGUAACUGACGCUGAGGCGCGAAAGCGUGGGGAGCAAACAGGAUUAGAUACCCGGGUAGUC